This 191-nucleotide ribosomal RNA is filed under the name uncultured prokaryote. Its description in RNAcentral is "partial 16S ribosomal RNA". The record is from RNAcentral.
ACUCGUCAGAAAAUCGAAAUCAUCUUCGGUUAAAUCCAAAACUUCCUCCGCCUGAAUGAGCUUAAUAGAGGCCAAAGCGGUCUGGAAACGUACGGAUUGUUCAGUAACUUGACUCAUGAUUUCUUACCUAUUAGUGGUUGAACAGCAUCGGACUCAGAUAGUAAUCCACGCUCUUUUAAAAUGUCAACAAG